Molecule: non-coding RNA, 77 nt
Organism: Potamilus streckersoni
Lineage: Eukaryota; Metazoa; Mollusca; Bivalvia; Unionida; Unionidae
Source: the annotation of a GenBank genome assembly
GACUGCUCUGAUGGCCUAGUGGUUAGAGCAUUUGCCUCAGAUGCAGGAGGUCUUGGGUUCGAUUCCUGGCUGAGUCA